GCAAGCUUACUUCCCAAAUGGGGAGUUUUUGUUAGGAGACAAGGCCUACCCUGUACUAACCUGGCUUAUUCCCCCGUACAUCGACAGAGAACACUACCGAAAUUCAAAGGCAUUUUAAUAGAAAUUUGGCAAGCACUAGACAGAAGAAUAUGUCAUUGAGGGAAUGAACACUGACAACCAAGAUGCAGAGCUGAUCAAUCCCGUACAUCGAGCUGUGCCUAGUGAAAAUGAUGGACAUCCGAAAAGAAACGAAUUAGCCGAGUUAUUGUAUUACCGAGUCUAGCUGAUGUAGAAAUAAAGUACCCAUUUUUAUACUUCA
Long non-coding RNA from Temnothorax curvispinosus, 319 nucleotides. RefSeq lists it as uncharacterized. NCBI's taxonomy places the organism in Eukaryota, Metazoa, Arthropoda, Insecta, Hymenoptera, Formicidae. The transcript has 2 exons. The record is from RefSeq and is a predicted model, not a curated record.